RNAcentral lists this ribosomal RNA (258 nucleotides) under uncultured soil bacterium. RNAcentral's name for it is "partial 16S ribosomal RNA". It matches the Rfam family "Bacterial small subunit ribosomal RNA", at positions 26 to 291 of the family's 1533-position model. The record is from RNAcentral.
AGGACGAACGCUGGCGGCGUGCUUAACACAUGCAAGUCACGGGGGUCCCGCAAGGGAUAACCGGCGAACGGGUGCGUAACACGUGAACAACCUGCCCUCGUGUGGGGGAUAGCCGGGCUAACGCCCGGGUAAUACCGCAUACGUUCUCUUUGGGGAGUCCCGAGGAGAGGAAAGCUCCGGCGCACGGGGAGGGGUUCGCCCGGCCUAUCAGCUAGUUGGCGGGGUAAUGGCCCACCAAGGCGACGACGGGUAGCUGGU